RNAcentral lists this long non-coding RNA (834 nucleotides) under Ursus americanus (American black bear). Its description in RNAcentral is "lncRNA (ENSUAMG00000025036.1)". The record is from RNAcentral. Lineage: Eukaryota; Metazoa; Chordata; Mammalia; Carnivora; Ursidae.
GACUGAGGUCCCCAAACCUGCUCUGGGCAGCAGAGGUUCGCAGAGGAAGGGGUACCACUAGGGCCCCAUAGCCAGACUGAGAGGAGUGAGGAAAGAAGGCUAUGGAGAGCCAGUUAGAGGGAGGAAAAACUGCUCUGGCCUCUGGUUGAAGAGUGGGUGUGCACUGAACCUUGUAGCCUCCAGGGGGCGCUCAGGACCAAGUAUGGACAAGCACUUUGCCCGCCCAGGCCAGAGGGCCGCGAGGAACUCUGGAGAAGCAGAAAUGGCCGCCUCGAGAGUGAGCAGAGAAGCAAGGCCAGUCCUAUUUGGGUCCCCUGAGAAGAGUUGCCUUGUGCCCUGUGACUGAUACCAGAAUGGCCAACAUAUCCACUGCCUGAGUUCCCAAAUGGACACAGUCCUCCGCCUCUUAGCUCCUGCUCAGAACUUGAGCUUCCACAGAACUGCCUGCCAUGCAGAAGACUCUGCUGUCUAGUCCCUGUGAAGCAGCCAAGUCUCAGAUUGAGAUGGGGCAGGCUUUGGGAGUGGCCUCAAGGAGUAUUGAAGAUAGCAGAUACUAAAGAUAGCAGGUGGAAACUACCAAGAAAGACUAAUUACUAGAAAUGCAACCUGCGAAAGAGACACACCUCUUUCUGCCCCACUCAGCCCUUUCCUCCCAGGUGAUUUUUCUUUUUUUUUUUUUUUUAAGAUUUUAUUUAUUUAUUCGACAGAGGUAGAGACAGCCAAAGAGAGAGGGAACACAAGCAGGGGGAGUGGGAGAGGAAGAAGCAGGCUCAUAGCGGAGGAGCCUGAUGUGGGGCUCGAUCCCAUAACGCCGGGAUCACGCCCUGAGCCGAA